UACGGAGGGUGCAAGCAUUAAUCGGAAUUAUUGGGCGUAAAGGGCGCGUAGGCGGCUAAGUAAGUCGGGUGUGAAAUUCCAAAGCUCAACUUUGGAGCUGCAUUCGAAACUGCAGAGCUUGAGGGAUGGCGGAGAAAAUGGAAUUCCACGUGUAGCGGUGAAAUGCGUAGAUAUGUGGAAGAACACCGGUGGCGAAAGCGGUUUUCUAGCUAUUACCUGACGCUGAGGCGCGAGAGCAAGGGGAGCAAACAGG
Molecule: ribosomal RNA, 253 nt
Filed under: uncultured bacterium
Lineage: Bacteria
Description: partial 16S ribosomal RNA
Rfam family: Bacterial small subunit ribosomal RNA
Source: RNAcentral